This 367-nucleotide long non-coding RNA is filed under the name Gossypium raimondii (Peruvian cotton). RNAcentral describes it as "long non-coding RNA (GRAI_LNC003683)". The record is from RNAcentral. Lineage: Eukaryota; Viridiplantae; Streptophyta; Magnoliopsida; Malvales; Malvaceae.
UUCUUUUUUUGUUGGCUGCUAAAUGUUUGAAGACUAACUUGAAAAAACCCUGUGGGAGGCGGCAGAGCUAAAAAUGACUUUCAACUUUUUCUAGUAUCUAUUCCUAAAAAAAGUAAUCUGCAAUUACCAUUUAAAAGCAUCAAUAUUUACAAAUAGCCAAAUACACAAAUAAAAUAAAAUAUUAAAUACACAUCUUUAAAUCAAAUAACUUUAAAAAGUAAUCAUGUAACUUUGAAUCAAAUGUUGUUAAAAAGAAAUAAACUUUAAAGCAAAAUCCCAAAUACCUUCUCAAAAUAUGUACAUGCUAAUCAUUCUCCUUUCAUAGUCUUCUUGCUGAAGUUUCCUUUCAAUUUUGACUAAUUUGUUU